Non-coding RNA from Cucurbita pepo subsp. pepo (vegetable marrow), 885 nucleotides. The record is from RefSeq and is a predicted model, not a curated record. NCBI's taxonomy places the organism in Eukaryota, Viridiplantae, Streptophyta, Magnoliopsida, Cucurbitales, Cucurbitaceae.
UCGAGUUCUUUGUCACUUGGUAUAAAUUCAGCAUGCAAUCGAGGCGCGAAAGCCCAGGCGUCGGCCCCUGCGAUCACGAUUGGCGCCAGUCCAGUAGCAGCCUCUCCCCUAUCUCCGAGCGAUGCGAAGCGGGCUGAGCCUUCAAAUCUUUCUAUAGGAAUGCGUCCAGUUCUUCGUAAAAUCCAGUCAGCGACACGCUUGUUUUUCAUCCACUCGUUCUCUCUCAAAUCGAACUCAACGCCCAUGAUUUCUCGACCUUUUCGCUUCUCCAGUUCCCUCUCUUCAAGCUCCCACACCUUUUUAGGCCCAACAAAUUGAAUCGGAGCAUUUUGGUUGUAGCUACAAAGUCGCAUUCACUGCAACAAUUGAGUACCAAAACAUUUUUGGCAUUCUGCUGCAACAAUAUCAGAACUUAGAAGUUACACGCAAUUGUAAUUUGUUGGUUUUGCUCGAUGUCUCGUAUUGAAGCUAUGCAGAAUCCGGAGGUGAUUUCGUAUCUGACACAGCGGGAAGCCGCUGAGGUUGAUGAGAUUCUCAUGGGUCCUCUCGGGUUCAGGUUGGCCAAUUGAUGAAGUUUGAUUCCAAAGCCAAAAUACUGGGGAGGAUAGAGGCUUAAACCAGAGCUUUUUGAGUUUAGGCAGGGGCAGCCAUCUGGGUUGCAUGACAGGUUGCAAUAUUCCCCUUGCGAGACGGACGGAAAAAAAAGUAUGGAAAGUAGAACGAUUAGCUCCCUGAUUGACUCCUCCAUCAUUCACGUACCUUCUUUUCUCUUUAGCCCCUUUUGUGUUUGACGUCAAAGUUGCUGUCUAAUAUUUGACUGUUGCAUAAUUUAUUGAACUAUUGCAAGUUUUACAACUUCCAUAAAACUAUAUGACAUGUUCAUGG